UGGUGGAGUGAUUUGUCUGGUUAAUUCCGUUAACGAACGAGACCUCGACCUGCUAAAUAGUACACGGAAGCCUAGGUUUCCGUCGCACUUCUUAGAGGGACUAUCGGGAGCAAACCGAUGGAAGUUCGAGGCAAUAACA
Molecule: ribosomal RNA, 139 nt
Filed under: uncultured eukaryote
Lineage: Eukaryota
Description: partial 18S ribosomal RNA
Rfam family: Eukaryotic small subunit ribosomal RNA
Source: RNAcentral